Molecule: ribosomal RNA, 114 nt
Filed under: Escherichia coli
Lineage: Bacteria; Pseudomonadati; Pseudomonadota; Gammaproteobacteria; Enterobacterales; Enterobacteriaceae
Also listed under: 1 other name
Source: RNAcentral
UGGCGGCCGUAGCGCGGUGGUCCCACCUGACCCCAUGCCGAACUCAGAAGUGAAACGCCGUAGCGCCGAUGGUAGUGUGGGGUUUCCCCAUGCGAGAGUAGGGAACUGCCAGGC